CCUCAGUAACGGCGAGUGAAGCGGCAACAGCUCAAAUUUGAAAUCUGGCCCCCCCGGGGUCCGAGUUGUAAUUUGCAGAGGGUGCUUCGGUGAGGGUCCCGGUCUAAGUUCCUUGGAACAGGACGUCAUAGAGGGUGAGAGUCCCGUAUGAGACCGCGGGCCCGGGCCGUGUGAAGCCCCUUCGACGAGUCGAGUUGUUUGGGAAUGCAGCUCAAAAUGGGUGGUAAAUUUCAUCUAAAGCUAAAUACCGGCCAGAGACCGAUAGCGCACAAGUAGAGUGAUCGAAAGGUGAAAAGCACUUUGAAAAGAGAGUUAAAAAGUACGUGAAAUUGUUGAAAGGGAAGCGCUUGCGGCCAGACUUGCCCGCGGGCGAUCAGCCGGUGCUCACACCGGCGCACUCGCCCGCGGUCAGGCCAGCAUCGGCUCAGGCGGCUGGAGAAAGGCCCCGGGAAUGUGGCCCCCUCCGGGGGGUGUUAUAGCCCGGGGAGCCAUGCAGCCCGCCUGGGCCGAGGACCGCGCUCCGGCUAGGAUGCUGGCGUAAUGGCCGCAAGCGGCCCGUCUUGAAACACGGACCGAGGAGUCUAACAUCUAUGCGAGUGUUUGGGUGUCAAACCCAUGCGCGGAAUUAAAGUGAACGGAGGUGGGAACCCGUCAGGGCGCACCAUCGACCGAUCCUGAUGUCUUCGGAUGGAUUUGAGUAAGAGCAUAGCUGUUGGGACCCGAAAGAUGGUGAACUAUGCCUGAAUAGGGUGAAGCCAGAGGAAACUCUGGUGGAGGCUCGCAGCGGUUCUGACGUGCAAAUCGAUCGUCAAAUUUGGGUAUAGGGGCGAAAGACUAAUCGAACCAUCUAGUAGCUGGUUCCAGCCGAAGUUUCCCUCAGGAUAGCAGUAACGUUUUCAGUUUUAUGAGGUAAAGCGAAUGAUUAGAGGCCUUGGGGUUGAAACAACCUUAACCUAUUCUCAAACUUUAAAUAUGUAAGAAGUCCUUGUUACUUUGUUGAACGUGGACAUUUGAAUGCACCGUUACUAGUGGGCCAUUUUUGGUAAGCAGAACUGGCGAUGCGGGAUGAACCGAACGCGAGGUUAAGGUGCCGGAAUGCACGCUCAUCAGACACCACAAAAGGUGUUAGUUCAUCUAGACAGCCGGACGGUGGCCAUGGAAGUCGGAACCCGCUAAGGAAUGUGUAACAACUCACCGGCCGAAUGAACUAGCCCUGAAAAUGGAUGGCGCUCAAGCGUGCUACCCAUACCUCGCCGUCAGGGUAGAAACGAUGCCCUGACGAGUAGGCUGGCGUGGGGGUCCGUGACGAAGCCUUGGGGGUGACCCCGGGUCGAACGGCCCCCAGUGC
Molecule: ribosomal RNA, 1348 nt
Filed under: Eiglera flavida
Lineage: Eukaryota; Fungi; Ascomycota; Lecanoromycetes; Hymeneliales; Hymeneliaceae
Description: eukaryotic LSU rRNA
Rfam family: Eukaryotic large subunit ribosomal RNA
Source: RNAcentral